GUAACAAAACUUACAUGGAUAAAGAUUGAUGUAACAAUAAGGUAUGUGACAUGUAAAGAACUGAAGCAAGCUUAAUUUCGACGUCGAGGUCGUCAGAUAUAAAGUCUUACUUCUACAACAAAGCAUUUUGAAAACAGAAAGGCAUUUCUAAAAGCUCAAAAACGAUAUAUGACGUAGCUCUUUGACAUGCAGAUAGAAUCAAGAGAAAAAAGAAACCUAUUUUACAUUAGGCAAAUAAUUAAUGUUGUUCAAAAGGAACUUGCUUCGUUUUUCAUCAAACAAUGGAACUUUCAUUACAAAUCAUCUCAUGGAGAAUGGGAUGAUACACCCAAAAGUGGCAAAAAAUUUUGCACUUUAGAAUCAGGAAAAAAAAUAGAC
Xenia sp. Carnegie-2017 is the source of this 378-nucleotide long non-coding RNA. RefSeq lists it as uncharacterized. The record is from RefSeq and is a predicted model, not a curated record. The transcript has 4 exons. Lineage: Eukaryota; Metazoa; Cnidaria; Anthozoa; Malacalcyonacea; Xeniidae.